Non-coding RNA from Acanthosepion pharaonis, 109 nucleotides. NCBI's taxonomy places the organism in Eukaryota, Metazoa, Mollusca, Cephalopoda, Sepiida, Sepiidae. The record is from the annotation of a GenBank genome assembly.
UUACAACCAUAUCAUGUUGAAACAUUGGUUCCUGUAUGAUUGGUGAAGUUAAGCAUUGUCGAGCCUGGUCAGUACCUAGAUGGGUGAGCACUGGGGAAUACCAGGUACU